This 1359-nucleotide ribosomal RNA is filed under the name Salmonella enterica subsp. enterica serovar Durham. Its description in RNAcentral is "partial 23S ribosomal RNA". It matches the Rfam family "Bacterial large subunit ribosomal RNA", at positions 1602 to 2925 of the family's 2925-position model. The record is from RNAcentral. Lineage: Bacteria; Pseudomonadati; Pseudomonadota; Gammaproteobacteria; Enterobacterales; Enterobacteriaceae.
CUGCUUCCAGGAAAAGCCUCUAAGCAUCAGGUAACAUCAAAUCGUACCCCAAACCGACACAGGUGGUCAGGUAGAGAAUACCAAGGCGCUUGAGAGAACUCGGGUGAAGGAACUAGGCAAAAUGGUGCCGUAACUUCGGGAGAAGGCACGCUGACACGUAGGUGAAGUGAUUUACUCAUGGAGCUGAAGUCAGUCGAAGAUACCAGCUGGCUGCAACUGUUUAUUAAAAACACAGCACUGUGCAAACACGAAAGUGGACGUAUACGGUGUGACGCCUGCCCGGUGCCGGAAGGUUAAUUGAUGGGGUCAGCGCAAGCGAAGCUCCUGAUCGAAGCCCCGGUAAACGGCGGCCGUAACUAUAACGGUCCUAAGGUAGCGAAAUUCCUUGUCGGGUAAGUUCCGACCUGCACGAAUGGCGUAAUGAUGGCCAGGCUGUCUCCACCCGAGACUCAGUGAAAUUGAACUCGCUGUGAAGAUGCAGUGUACCCGCGGCAAGACGGAAAGACCCCGUGAACCUUUACUAUAGCUUGACACUGAACAUUGAGCCUUGAUGUGUAGGAUAGGUGGGAGGCUUUGAAGUGUGGACGCCAGUCUGCAUGGAGCCGACCUUGAAAUACCACCCUUUAAUGUUUGAUGUUCUAACGUGGACCCGUUACCCGGGUUGCGGACAGUGUCUGGUGGGUAGUUUGACUGGGGCGGUCUCCUCCUAAAGAGUAACGGAGGAGCACGAAGGUUGGCUAAUCCUGGUCGGACAUCAGGAGGUUAGUGCAAUGGCAUAAGCCAGCUUGACUGCGAGCGUGACGGCGCGAGCAGGUGCGAAAGCAGGUCAUAGUGAUCCGGUGGUUCUGAAUGGAAGGGCCAUCGCUCAACGGAUAAAAGGUACUCCGGGGAUAACAGGCUGAUACCGCCCAAGAGUUCAUAUCGACGGCGGUGUUUGGCACCUCGAUGUCGGCUCAUCACAUCCUGGGGCUGAAGUAGGUCCCAAGGGUAUGGCUGUUCGCCAUUUAAAGUGGUACGCGAGCUGGGUUUAGAACGUCGUGAGACAGUUCGGUCCCUAUCUGCCGUGGGCGCUGGAGAACUGAGGGGGGCUGCUCCUAGUACGAGAGGACCGGAGUGGACGCAUCACUGGUGUUCGGGUUGUCAUGCCAAUGGCACUGCCCGGUAGCUAAAUGCGGAAGAGAUAAGUGCUGAAAGCAUCUAAGCACGAAACUUGCCCCGAGAUGAGUUCUCCCUGAGACUUAAAGUCUCCUGAAGGAACGUUGAAGACGACGACGUUGAUAGGCCGGGUGUGUAAGCGCAGCGAUGCGUUGAGCUAACCGGUACUAAUGAACCGUGAGGCUUAACCUUACAACGCCGAAG